Molecule: ribosomal RNA, 390 nt
Filed under: uncultured bacterium
Lineage: Bacteria
Description: bacterial SSU rRNA
Rfam family: Bacterial small subunit ribosomal RNA
Source: RNAcentral
GUUGAACGCUGGCGGCAUGCCUUACACAUGCAAGUCGAACGGCAGCGGACCUUCGGGUGCCGGCGAGUGGCGAACGGGUGAGUAAUAUAUCGGAACGUACCUUUCAGUGGGGGAUAACGUAGCGAAAGUUACGCUAAUACCGCAUAUUCUGUGAGCAGGAAAGCAGGGGAUCGCAAGACCUUGCGCUGAUUGAGCGGCCGAUAUCAGAUUAGCUAGUUGGUGAGGUAAAGGCCCACCAAGGCGACGAUCUGUAGCGGGUCUGAGAGGAUGAUCCGCCACACUGGGACUGAGACACGGCCCAGACUCCUACGGGAGGCAGCAGUGGGGAAUUUUGGACAAUGGGCGCAAGCCUGAUCCAGCCAUGCCGCGUGCGGGACGAAGGCCUCGGUU